UACGUAGGGCGCAAGCGUUGUCCGGAAUUAUUGGGCGUAAAGAGCUCGUAGGCGGUCUGUCGCGUCGGCUGUGAAAACCCGGGGCUCAACCCCGGGCCUGCAGUCGAUACGGGCAGACUAGAGUGUGGUAGGGGAGACUGGAAUUCCUGGUGUAGCGGUGGAAUGCGCAGAUAUCAGGAGGAACACCGGUGGCGAAGGCGGGUCACUGGCCCGAUACUGACGCUGAGGCACGAAAGCGUGGGGAGCAAACAGG
RNAcentral lists this ribosomal RNA (253 nucleotides) under uncultured bacterium. Its description in RNAcentral is "partial 16S ribosomal RNA". It matches the Rfam family "Bacterial small subunit ribosomal RNA", at positions 524 to 776 of the family's 1533-position model. The record is from RNAcentral.